RNAcentral lists this ribosomal RNA (460 nucleotides) under uncultured bacterium. Its description in RNAcentral is "partial 16S ribosomal RNA". It matches the Rfam family "Bacterial small subunit ribosomal RNA", at positions 338 to 795 of the family's 1533-position model. The record is from RNAcentral.
CCUACGGGUGGCUGCAGUGAGGAAUAUUGGUCAAUGGACGAGCGUCUGAACCAGCCAAGUAGCGUGAAGGAUGACUGUCCUAUGGGUUGUAAACUUCUUUUAUAAAGGAAUAAAACGAGGCACGUGUGCCUUUUUGCAUGUACUUUAUGAAUAAGGAUCGGCUAACUCCGUGCCCGCAGCCGCGGUCAUACGGAGGAUCCGAGCGUUAUCCGGCUUUAUUGGGUUUAAAGGGAGAGUAGAUGGGUUGUUAAGUCAGUGGUGAAAGUUUGCGGCUCAACCGUAAAAUUGCAGUUGAUACUGGCAGUCUGGAGGACAGUUGAGGUAGGCGGAAUUCGUGGUGUAGCGGUGAAAUGCUUAGAUAUCACGAAGAAGCCCGAUUGCGAAGGCAGCUUACUAAGCUGUGACUGACAUGGAUGCACGAAAGUGUGGGUAUCAAACAGGAUUAGAUACCCGAGUAGUC